CCUACGGGUGGCAGCAGUGAGGAAUAUUGGUCAAUGGGCGCGAGCCUGAACCAGCCAAGUAGCGUGAAGGAUGACUGCCCUACGGGUUGUAAACUUCUUUUAUAAAGGAAUAAAGUGAGGCACGUGUGCCUUUUUGUAUGUACUUUAUGAAAAAGGAACGGCUAAGUCCGUGCCAGCAGCCGCGGUAAGACGGAGGAUCCGAGCGUUAUCCGGAUUUAUUGGGUUUAAAGGGAACGUAGAUGGGUUGUUAAGUCAGUUGUGAAAGUUUGCGGCUCUACCGUAAAAUUGCAAUUGAUACUGGCAGUCUUGAGUACAGUUGAGGUAGGCGGAAUUCGUGGUGUAGCGGUGGAAUGCUUAGGUCUCACGAAGAACUCCGAUUGCGAAGGCAGCUUACUAAACUGCCACUGACAUUGAUGCUCGAAAGUGUGGGUAUCAAACCGGAUUCGGUUCCCCGUGUAGUC
RNAcentral lists this ribosomal RNA (461 nucleotides) under uncultured bacterium. Its description in RNAcentral is "partial 16S ribosomal RNA". It matches the Rfam family "Bacterial small subunit ribosomal RNA", at positions 338 to 795 of the family's 1533-position model. The record is from RNAcentral.